RNAcentral lists this ribosomal RNA (534 nucleotides) under Bacillus tropicus. Its description in RNAcentral is "bacterial SSU rRNA". It matches the Rfam family "Bacterial small subunit ribosomal RNA", at positions 77 to 594 of the family's 1533-position model. The record is from RNAcentral. Lineage: Bacteria; Bacillati; Bacillota; Bacilli; Caryophanales; Bacillaceae.
AGCUUGCUCUUAUGAAGUUAGCGGCGGACGGGUGAGUAACACGUGGGUAACCUGCCCAUAAGACUGGGAUAACUCCGGGAAACCGGGGCUAAUACCGGAUAACAUUUUGAACCGCAUGGUUCGAAAUUGAAAGGCGGCUUCGGCUGUCACUUAUGGAUGGACCCGCGUCGCAUUAGCUAGUUGGUGAGGUAACGGCUCACCAAGGCAACGAUGCGUAGCCAACCUGAGAGGGUGAUCGGCCACACUGGGACUGAGACACGGCCCAGACUCCUACGGGAGGCAGCAGUAGGGAAUCUUCCGCAAUGGACGAAAGUCUGACGGAGCAACGCCGCGUGAGUGAUGAAGGCUUUCGGGUCGUAAAACUCUGUUGUUAGGGAAGAACAAGUGCUAGUUGAAUAAGCUGGCACCUUGACGGUACCUAACCAGAAAGCCACGGCUAACUACGUGCCAGCAGCCGCGGUAAUACGUAGGUGGCAAGCGUUAUCCGGAAUUAUUGGGCGUAAAGCGCGCGCAGGUGGUUUCUUAAGUCUGAUG